GAUGCUUUGUUGAGGUUUAAACACUGACGUGUUUUGAACGGCCGUGGACGAUGUGCCGUUUAAGACUCGCCGUGAGCCAUCUUUUUUAACGACAUCUCCUUCCACUGCGCUCC
Molecule: small nucleolar RNA, 113 nt
Organism: Hevea brasiliensis (rubber tree)
Lineage: Eukaryota; Viridiplantae; Streptophyta; Magnoliopsida; Malpighiales; Euphorbiaceae
Product: small nucleolar RNA Z152/R70/R12
Exons: 1
Source: RefSeq, a predicted model, not a curated record